AGAAACCAACAGGGAUUGCCUUAGUAACGGCGAGUGAAGCGGCAACAGCUCAAAUUUGAAAUCUGGCUCUUUCAGAGUCCGAGUUGUAAUUUGCAGAGGGCGCUUUGGCUUUGGCAGCGGUCCAAGUUCCUUGGAACAGGACGUCACAGAGGGUGAGAAUCCCGUACGUGGUCGCUAGCUAUUGCCGUGUAAAGCCCCUUCGACGAGUCGAGUUGUUUGGGAAUGCAGCUCUAAAUGGGAGGUAAAUUUCUUCUAAAGCUAAAUAUUGGCCAGAGACCGAUAGCGCACAAGUAGAGUGAUCGAAAGAUGAAAAGCACUUUGGAAAGAGAGUCAAACAGCACGUGAAAUUGUUGAAAGGGAAGCGCUUGCAGCCAGACUUGCUUGCAGUUGCUCAUCCGGGCUUUUGCCCGGUGCACUCUUCUGCAGGCAGGCCAGCAUCAGUUUGGGCGGUGGGAUAAAGGUCUCUGACACGUUCCUUCCUUCGGGUUGGCCAUAUAGGGGAGACGUCAUACCACCAGCCUGGACUGAGGUCCGCGCAUCUGCUAGGAUGCUGGCGUAAUGGCUGUAAGCGGCCCGUCUUGAAACACGGACCAAGGAGUCUAACAUCUAUGCGAGUGUUUGGGUGUCAAGCCCGAGCGCGUAAUGAAAGUGAACGGAGGUGGGAACCCGCAAGGGCGCACCAUCGACCGAUCCUGAAGUUUACGGAAGGAUUUGAGUAAGAGCAUGGCUGUUGGGACCCGAAAGAUGGUGAACUAUGCUUGAAUAGGGUGAAGCCAGAGGAAACUCUGGUGGAGGCUCGCAGCGGUUCUGACGUGCAAAUCGAUCGUCAAAUUUGGGCAUAGGGGCGAAAGACUAAUCGAAC
RNAcentral lists this ribosomal RNA (862 nucleotides) under Curvularia senegalensis. RNAcentral's name for it is "eukaryotic LSU rRNA". It matches the Rfam family "Eukaryotic large subunit ribosomal RNA", at positions 60 to 940 of the family's 3401-position model. Lineage: Eukaryota; Fungi; Ascomycota; Dothideomycetes; Pleosporales; Pleosporaceae. The record is from RNAcentral.